RNAcentral lists this ribosomal RNA (431 nucleotides) under uncultured bacterium. Its description in RNAcentral is "bacterial SSU rRNA". It matches the Rfam family "Bacterial small subunit ribosomal RNA", at positions 29 to 459 of the family's 1533-position model. The record is from RNAcentral.
AUUGAACGCUGGCGGCGUGCCUAACACAUGCAAGUCGAGCGGUAACAGGUGUAGCAAUACAUGCUGACGAGCGGCGAACGGGUGAGUAAUGCUUCGGAAUCUACCCAAUGGUGGGGAAUAACCAGCCGAAAGGUUGGCUAAUACCGCAUACGUCCCACGGGAGAAAGCAGGGGAUCGCAAGACCUUGCGCCAAUGGAUGAGCCGAAGUCGGAUUAGCUAGUUGGAGGGUAACGGCCUACCAAGGCGACGAUCCGUAGCUGGUCUGAGAGGACGACCAGCCACACUGGGACUGAGACACGGCCCAGACUCCUACGGGAGGCAGCAGUGGGGAAUAUUGGACAAUGGGGGAAACCCUGAUCCAGCGACGCCGCGUGUGUGAAGAAGGCCUGCGGGUUGUAAAGCACUUUUUAGUGGGGAUGAAAUGUUCAGGG